GUGAUGUGAGUGCUAAAUACAGCAGAGGUAUACGGAAGAGUUUAAAACUCUGAAUGAGUCCGAGUCUAUGGCAAGGUGCUGUGCUGCGAGCACCCUUGGAGGACUCACCUAUGUGAGUGUGACUGUGUGGCCGCAGUCUAUGGGGAUAAGGGUUUAACCCCUAGAGCACUCAUGAAACUGAGAUAUUGGUGCAUAAGGCCAGAAAAAGCACCACCUAUGAUGAACCCAGUAUUUGCAUUUGUCAUGGGUGAAGUAUAUAGAAAUAUGAACCAAAGGAUUUGGUUCAAAGCUUUUUAGCUAUCACUAUACCUUUCAGAUGAAAAUAUACUUUCACUAGGUAAAGGUUCAAAGCCGCAAGCUACCUUUAUUGAAGUCGUGACAUAAACAAGCCCGGUUUGACUAUUUUCUGAUUUUAUAAAGUUUUGAAAACAUUUU
Molecule: long non-coding RNA, 435 nt
Filed under: Phoenix dactylifera (date palm)
Lineage: Eukaryota; Viridiplantae; Streptophyta; Magnoliopsida; Arecales; Arecaceae
Description: long non-coding RNA (PDAC_LNC013554)
Source: RNAcentral